ACUUAAAUAGUUUAAUUAAAACAUUGAUUUGUGGUGUCAAAAAUAUAAAAAAAAAAUUAUUUUAGGUU
Molecule: transfer RNA, 68 nt
Filed under: Labriocimbex sinicus
Lineage: Eukaryota; Metazoa; Arthropoda; Insecta; Hymenoptera; Cimbicidae
Description: tRNA-His
Source: RNAcentral